RNAcentral lists this ribosomal RNA (2925 nucleotides) under Escherichia coli. RNAcentral describes it as "bacterial LSU rRNA". It matches the Rfam family "Bacterial large subunit ribosomal RNA". The record is from RNAcentral. Lineage: Bacteria; Pseudomonadati; Pseudomonadota; Gammaproteobacteria; Enterobacterales; Enterobacteriaceae.
GGGUUGUGAGGUUAAGCGACUAAGCGUACACGGUGGAUGCCCUGGCAGUCAGAGGCGAUGAAGGACGUGCUAAUCUGCGAUAAGCGUCGGUAAGGUGAUAUGAACCGUUAUAACCGGCGAUUUCCGAAUGGGGAAACCCAGUGUGUUUCGACACACUAUCAUUAACUGAAUCCAUAGGUUAAUGAGGCGAACCGGGGGAACUGAAACAUCUAAGUACCCCGAGGAAAAGAAAUCAACCGAGAUUCCCCCAGUAGCGGCGAGCGAACGGGGAGCAGCCCAGAGCCUGAAUCAGUGUGUGUGUUAGUGGAAGCGUCUGGAAAGGCGCGCGAUACAGGGUGACAGCCCCGUACACAAAAAUGCACAUGCUGUGAGCUCGAUGAGUAGGGCGGGACACGUGGUAUCCUGUCUGAAUAUGGGGGGACCAUCCUCCAAGGCUAAAUACUCCUGACUGACCGAUAGUGAACCAGUACCGUGAGGGAAAGGCGAAAAGAACCCCGGCGAGGGGAGUGAAAAAGAACCUGAAACCGUGUACGUACAAGCAGUGGGAGCACGCUUAGGCGUGUGACUGCGUACCUUUUGUAUAAUGGGUCAGCGACUUAUAUUCUGUAGCAAGGUUAACCGAAUAGGGGAGCCGAAGGGAAACCGAGUCUUAACUGGGCGUUAAGUUGCAGGGUAUAGACCCGAAACCCGGUGAUCUAGCCAUGGGCAGGUUGAAGGUUGGGUAACACUAACUGGAGGACCGAACCGACUAAUGUUGAAAAAUUAGCGGAUGACUUGUGGCUGGGGGUGAAAGGCCAAUCAAACCGGGAGAUAGCUGGUUCUCCCCGAAAGCUAUUUAGGUAGCGCCUCGUGAAUUCAUCUCCGGGGGUAGAGCACUGUUUCGGCAAGGGGGUCAUCCCGACUUACCAACCCGAUGCAAACUGCGAAUACCGGAGAAUGUUAUCACGGGAGACACACGGCGGGUGCUAACGUCCGUCGUGAAGAGGGAAACAACCCAGACCGCCAGCUAAGGUCCCAAAGUCAUGGUUAAGUGGGAAACGAUGUGGGAAGGCCCAGACAGCCAGGAUGUUGGCUUAGAAGCAGCCAUCAUUUAAAGAAAGCGUAAUAGCUCACUGGUCGAGUCGGCCUGCGCGGAAGAUGUAACGGGGCUAAACCAUGCACCGAAGCUGCGGCAGCGACGCUUAUGCGUUGUUGGGUAGGGGAGCGUUCUGUAAGCCUGUGAAGGUGUGCUGUGAGGCAUGCUGGAGGUAUCAGAAGUGCGAAUGCUGACAUAAGUAACGAUAAAGCGGGUGAAAAGCCCGCUCGCCGGAAGACCAAGGGUUCCUGUCCAACGUUAAUCGGGGCAGGGUGAGUCGACCCCUAAGGCGAGGCCGAAAGGCGUAGUCGAUGGGAAACAGGUUAAUAUUCCUGUACUUGGUGUUACUGCGAAGGGGGGACGGAGAAGGCUAUGUUGGCCGGGCGACGGUUGUCCCGGUUUAAGCGUGUAGGCUGGUUUUCCAGGCAAAUCCGGAAAAUCAAGGCUGAGGCGUGAUGACGAGGCACUACGGUGCUGAAGCAACAAAUGCCCUGCUUCCAGGAAAAGCCUCUAAGCAUCAGGUAACAUCAAAUCGUACCCCAAACCGACACAGGUGGUCAGGUAGAGAAUACCAAGGCGCUUGAGAGAACUCGGGUGAAGGAACUAGGCAAAAUGGUGCCGUAACUUCGGGAGAAGGCACGCUGAUAUGUAGGUGAAGUCCCUCGCGGAUGGAGCUGAAAUCAGUCGAAGAUACCAGCUGGCUGCAACUGUUUAUUAAAAACACAGCACUGUGCAAACACGAAAGUGGACGUAUACGGUGUGACGCCUGCCCGGUGCCGGAAGGUUAAUUGAUGGGGUCAGCGCAAGCGAAGCUCUUGAUCGAAGCCCCGGUAAACGGCGGCCGUAACUAUAACGGUCCUAAGGUAGCGAAAUUCCUUGUCGGGUAAGUUCCGACCUGCACGAAUGGCGUAAUGAUGGCCAGGCUGUCUCCACCCGAGACUCAGUGAAAUUGAACUCGCUGUGAAGAUGCAGUGUACCCGCGGCAAGACGGAAAGACCCCGUGAACCUUUACUAUAGCUUGACACUGAACAUUGAGCCUUGAUGUGUAGGAUAGGUGGGAGGCUUUGAAGUGUGGACGCCAGUCUGCAUGGAGCCGACCUUGAAAUACCACCCUUUAAUGUUUGAUGUUCUAACGUUGACCCGUAAUCCGGGUUGCGGACAGUGUCUGGUGGGUAGUUUGACUGGGGCGGUCUCCUCCUAAAGAGUAACGGAGGAGCACGAAGGUUGGCUAAUCCUGGUCGGACAUCAGGAGGUUAGUGCAAUGGCAUAAGCCAGCUUGACUGCGAGCGUGACGGCGCGAGCAGGUGCGAAAGCAGGUCAUAGUGAUCCGGUGGUUCUGAAUGGAAGGGCCAUCGCUCAACGGAUAAAAGGUACUCCGGGGAUAACAGGCUGAUACCGCCCAAGAGUUCAUAUCGACGGCGGUGUUUGGCACCUCGAUGUCGGCUCAUCACAUCCUGGGGCUGAAGUAGGUCCCAAGGGUAUGGCUGUUCGCCAUUUAAAGUGGUACGCGAGCUGGGUUUAGAACGUCGUGAGACAGUUCGGUCCCUAUCUGCCGUGGGCGCUGGAGAACUGAGGGGGGCUGCUCCUAGUACGAGAGGACCGGAGUGGACGCAUCACUGGUGUUCGGGUUGUCAUGCCAAUGGCACUGCCCGGUAGCUAAAUGCGGAAGAGAUAAGUGCUGAAAGCAUCUAAGCACGAAACUUGCCCCGAGAUGAGUUCUCCCUGACCCUUUAAGGGUCCUGAAGGAACGUUGAAGACGACGACGUUGAUAGGCCGGGUGUGUAAGCGCAGCGAUGCGUUGAGCUAACCGGUACUAAUGAACCGUGAGGCUUAACCUUACAACGCCGAAG